ACCCCAAAAUAUGCUAAGUUGAAAUCCAUGUUUCAUCAAAUAAGUCAAACAGUUUUUAAAACUGCCUUGUACUUACUGCUCAGUGAUCAUGACAACCCGUAAGUCAAAAGUUAAGACUGGUGUUUCAUUAUUUCAAUAUCAAAGAAACAUUUAAUUCUGAAACAAAGGUCAGUUUUGUGUCCCGUCCUUCUUAAGACCUCACUCUGAGGCAAGCUGUUCUAAUCGGCAUAAUUCAAAUUAGAUGCCUUUAUAAAGCCCCUAAGUUUAAAAUAUUUGCAAAUUUGAUCAAACAGCUAAGUUGGAAGCAAAUACUAAUCAAAUAUACAUAGAAAAAUCUGGAGAGUAUUAUUACAAAGUAUUAAUUGUGGUUGUCUCUGAAAGGUGGGAUGGGUUGGGGGAGGGUGGGUAAAAAGAGCUGACUUCCCUUCAUACAUUUCUGUAGUGUUUGAAUAUUUUACAACAAACUUAUUUCUUUUACAAUCAGGAAAAAGGUGAAUAUAUUUUUAUUUUGAAAAAAUAAAGUUAACAACAAAGCUUAAACUAACAUCUCCAGAUAUUUUCAACUCUGCUUAUUUACCUAGAUGAGUCCUUCUACUUUUUAAUUUCCUUUAACUGAGGAGACUUAAAUAAUUAAAAGGCUAGAGAAUUCAUCUAAACAUUCAAAUAGUUACAAUUUAGCAUACACUGUAAUACUGAUACUUUCAAUUAUGAUAUUAAAAGCUCUCUGUAUGAUUUUUUUCCCCUCUAAGGUAACAUCAAGGCUUCUGAAACUCUCUCAAAGGAUCUAUUUUUAAUUUCUCUCUUCCAGCAACAAAGCACAUUGGACUAACUCAAGGACAGCACCACUUCCCACCACUCUAAACCACAGAAAUGUUAACCUUAAAAAAAAAAAAUGAAGGUCAAAGAAAUAGAAAUCUACAGAUGCCAGAAGCAAGGAGAGAAAUCAAAGCAAGAGCAGAAAAAGGAAGCUGAUGUGCUGGUGGCCUGCUUGGUUUUACCUGCUUCUCUGUUCACUGUACCUGACUGUAGGAUAUAUGCAGGCUCCCUCCCGACGCUGUGGAGCACUUAGCACCAGCUGAUAUAUUUGUUGUCUAUCUAUCCCACUGGAAUGCUAGUUUCUUGAGGGCAGGGACUCUGUCUGCUUGGUUCCUGCUAUAUGCCCACUGCUCACCCCAGAGCUUGACACAUACCGGCCCCGGUGGUCUAGUGGUUAAGACUUGGAACUCUCACCACUGUGGCCCAGGUUCAUUUCCCAGUCAGGGAACCACACCACUGUCUGUCGGUUGUCAUAGUAUGGUGGCUGCCAUACUAUGGUGGCUGAGUUGCUGUGAUGCUGAAAGCUAUGCUACCGGUAUUUCAAAUACCAGGAGGGUCACACAUGGUGGACAGGUUUUAGCGGAGCUUCCAGACCAAGACAGACUAGGAAGAAGGACCUGG
Molecule: long non-coding RNA, 1437 nt
Organism: Equus quagga
Lineage: Eukaryota; Metazoa; Chordata; Mammalia; Perissodactyla; Equidae
Exons: 3
Source: RefSeq, a predicted model, not a curated record